UUUACAUUUGACAACUAACCUCUUCCGACUGCAAAUUUUAUUUAACAAAAAAUUAAAUAUAGAAACAAGAUGACGUUCAUGAAAAAGUUUAUAAAGUUUUGUAAUGAUAAUGUCGUAAUGAUAUCAGGGUUAUCAAUAAUUGUAGGUGUGCAUUGGGGUUGGUCGAAAUUGCAGGAUGUACCAGCUUUGGUUCGGCCUGAAGAAAAGAAAGAUUUGCCUCUUAUCGUUGGGACGCGAAAGUUAGGAGAGUUAAUUGAACACAAAUAUCACGAACUAACUGAUGCAGAACCUAAACAACCAUGAAAUGAUAAAACACGAAUCAUAACUUUGUACAUAGUAAAUAGAAAUAAAUUUGUUGUAUUUUUGAAUAUGAGACUGUUAAAGGGGUUUUUUAAAGCGCUGCUCUCAUAGCUCAACUGUAGUUUGGGAUAAAAUAAAAUUAAAAUGAAAAUCGU
Molecule: long non-coding RNA, 455 nt
Organism: Zophobas morio
Lineage: Eukaryota; Metazoa; Arthropoda; Insecta; Coleoptera; Tenebrionidae
Exons: 2
Source: RefSeq, a predicted model, not a curated record